Molecule: ribosomal RNA, 254 nt
Filed under: uncultured bacterium
Lineage: Bacteria
Description: partial 16S ribosomal RNA
Rfam family: Bacterial small subunit ribosomal RNA
Source: RNAcentral
UACGGGGGGGGCGAGCGUUGUUCGGAAUCACUGGGCGUAAAGGGCGCGUAGGCGGCCCGCACAAGUCUGCGGUGAAAACCCCCGGCUUAACCGGGGGCCGGCCGUGGAAACUGUCGGGCUGGAGGCUGGGAGAGGGCAGCGGAAUUCCCGGUGUAGCGGUGAAAUGCGUAGAGAUCGGGAGGAACACCGGCGGCGAAGGCGGGUUGCUGGGCCGACACUGACGCUGAGGCGCGAAAGCUAGGGGAGCGAACGGG